This is a long non-coding RNA of Rosa rugosa (rugosa rose), 1148 nucleotides long. RefSeq lists it as uncharacterized. The record is from RefSeq and is a predicted model, not a curated record. NCBI's taxonomy places the organism in Eukaryota, Viridiplantae, Streptophyta, Magnoliopsida, Rosales, Rosaceae. The transcript has 8 exons.
AAGAGCUGAUCGUACGAUGAGAGAAAACUUCCUUCAAAGAUACCCCAUUCACUCCUUCAGAGUUCUAACCUAACUUAGAUCGAGAUCUGGAGGUUUCUCCCCUCAUCUCUCUCUCUCUCCACACCCAAAAGCUCGGUUCUCAUACUCAUUUACUCAGUUUUGAGUUUAGAAAAUUGAAACCAAAAGCUUAUCGAUCUCUUUCUCUUCCUUGUUCCACCAACCACUCAUAUCGGUUCUCUCACCUCCUCUUCCUCCCAAAAUCACUAAAAUUUGUUUCUCUGGAGCGAUCCAUCCUUCCCCAAUAGCAGAUUAUGUGGUCCAAAUUAAUUAGAGUAUUUGAAUCUAGGGUUAGACGUAAGGGGAUGUUUAUUUUGGAGACAAAGGUGGGCUGAUCUAUGUGCGUUUGGCAACUCUGGUAGAGAUCCAUGUUGGUCAGAUUGCAAACGGAAUCUUCUUUUGAAUUGUUUCAUGGGCGAAGAAGUUCUUGUGCUGGCCACACCUACCUAUGAUUUUGGCAGGAGUUUAGCUUGCAUGGAAGCCUCGGAUGGCCGUCUCUCUGAUCAUUUUCUCACCUAUUCCACCUUUGAAUAUGAAGGGAAACUGUGUUCAACAAAUGAAAUUUAGUUUCAAUGUAGAGAGUUGAGCAAUGCCAUAUAUCUUGAGAAGGCCAAGUAUUGGGACACUUCAAAGCUUCAAGUCAUAUCCUUCUUCCUGAAGGCUUUAUUCAAAGAAGAGGUGCGUGCAGAUUCUUUAUAACAAGAAUGAUUCAGAGAAAUUGGCAAUGUUAGUUUUGAUAGAUAAUGCAUGGGAAUGCACUCCUUGUAUCAGACUGUAAUGGCAGAGCUUGAGAAGUUGGGUUAGAAAUAUCGUGUGGCUCUGAGGUUGUCCGUAUCAAAGGAGUUGCAGCUGUAGGAUGAAUAGUCUUGAUGUUUGUAUGUUGAUGGGUGCAACUGUAAAUUCUUAGUUAGUAUAUUUAUUGUAUGAUACAUUUUAAAAUAUAGUACAGGGUACAAUACAAGAAUGUAGAGGUGCCAAUUGGCACCUUAUUUUUUUAAUCCAACCUUAUAAAUUUGCCACUGAUAACAGUGGCAUUCCAAAGCCACUAAUAUCAGUGUGGAUUUAGAUUCUGACUUUGCAUUGGAUGAAGU